Molecule: small nuclear RNA, 108 nt
Organism: Talpa occidentalis (Iberian mole)
Lineage: Eukaryota; Metazoa; Chordata; Mammalia; Eulipotyphla; Talpidae
Source: RefSeq, a predicted model, not a curated record
GUGCUUGCUUCAGCAGCACAUAAACAAAAAUUGGAACAAUAUAAAAAGAGAUCAGCAUGACCCCUACACAAAGGUGACCCCUAAAUUCAUGAAGCAUUCCAUAUUUUU